UCCAAGUCUGCUCUACAGGGAAAGUGUUGGU
This 31-nucleotide non-coding RNA is filed under the name Mus musculus (house mouse). The record is from RNAcentral. Lineage: Eukaryota; Metazoa; Chordata; Mammalia; Rodentia; Muridae.